AAAUGACGGUACCUGACUAAGAAGCCCCGGCUAACUACGUGCCAGCAGCCGCGGUAAUACGUAGGGGGCAAGCGUUAUCCGGAUUUACUGGGUGUAAAGGGAGCGUAGACGGAUGGACAAGUCUGAUGUGAAAGGCUGGGGCUCAACCCCGGGACUGCAUUGGAAACUGCCCGUCUUGAGUGCCGGAGAGGUAAGCGGAAUUCCUAGUGUAGCGGUGAAAUGCGUAGAUAUUAGGAGGAACACCAGUGGCGAAGGCGGCUUACUGGACGGUAACUGACGUUGAGGCUCGAAAGCGUGGGGAGCAAACAGGAUUAGAUACCCUGGUAGUCCACGCGGUAAACGAUGAAUGCUAGGUGUCGGGUGACGAAGUCAUUCGGUGCCGCCGCAAACGCAUUAAGCAUUCCACCUGGGGAGUACGUUCGCAAGAAUGAAACUCAAAG
RNAcentral lists this ribosomal RNA (440 nucleotides) under uncultured bacterium. RNAcentral's name for it is "bacterial SSU rRNA". It matches the Rfam family "Bacterial small subunit ribosomal RNA", at positions 467 to 906 of the family's 1533-position model. The record is from RNAcentral.